This 336-nucleotide ribosomal RNA is filed under the name uncultured bacterium. RNAcentral describes it as "bacterial SSU rRNA". It matches the Rfam family "Bacterial small subunit ribosomal RNA", at positions 28 to 365 of the family's 1533-position model. The record is from RNAcentral.
GAUGAACGCUGGCGGCGCGCCUAACACAUGCAAGUCGAACGGUGAAGUCCCUUCGGGGACGGAUCAGUGGCGGACGGGUGAGUAACGCGUGAGUAACCUGCCCUUAUGAGUGGAAUAACGUCUGGAAACGGACGCUAAUACCGCAUAAGCCUACAGUACCGCAUGGUACAGCAGGAAAAACUCCGGUGGUAUGAGAUGGACCCGCGUCUGAUUAGCUAGUUGGUGGGGUAACGGCCUACCAAGGCGACGAUCAGUAGCCGACCUGAGAGGGUGACCGGCACAUUGGGACUGAGACACGGGCCCAAACUCCUACGGGAGGCAGCAGUGGGGAAUAUU